This 1132-nucleotide ribosomal RNA is filed under the name Bacillus amyloliquefaciens. RNAcentral's name for it is "bacterial SSU rRNA". It matches the Rfam family "Bacterial small subunit ribosomal RNA", at positions 56 to 1172 of the family's 1533-position model. The record is from RNAcentral. Lineage: Bacteria; Bacillati; Bacillota; Bacilli; Caryophanales; Bacillaceae.
UGCAGUCGAGCGGACAGAUGGGAGCUUGCUCCCUGAUGUUAGCGGCGGACGGGUGAGUAACACGUGGGUAACCUGCCUGUAAGACUGGGAUAACUCCGGGAAACCGGGGCUAAUACCGGAUGGUUGUCUGAACCGCAUGGUUCAGACAUAAAAGGUGGCUUCGGCUACCACUUACAGAUGGACCCGCGGCGCAUUAGCUAGUUGGUGAGGUAACGGCUCACCAAGGCGACGAUGCGUAGCCGACCUGAGAGGGUGAUCGGCCACACUGGGACUGAGACACGGCCCAGACUCCUACGGGAGGCAGCAGUAGGGAAUCUUCCGCAAUGGACGAAAGUCUGACGGAGCAACGCCGCGUGAGUGAUGAAGGUUUUCGGAUCGUAAAGCUCUGUUGUUAGGGAAGAACAAGUGCCGUUCAAAUAGGGCGGCACCUUGACGGUACCUAACCAGAAAGCCACGGCUAACUACGUGCCAGCAGCCGCGGUAAUACGUAGGUGGCAAGCGUUGUCCGGAAUUAUUGGGCGUAAAGGGCUCGCAGGCGGUUUCUUAAGUCUGAUGUGAAAGCCCCCGGCUCAACCGGGGAGGGUCAUUGGAAACUGGGGAACUUGAGUGCAGAAGAGGAGAGUGGAAUUCCACGUGUAGCGGUGAAAUGCGUAGAGAUGUGGAGGAACACCAGUGGCGAAGGCGACUCUCUGGUCUGUAACUGACGCUGAGGAGCGAAAGCGUGGGGAGCGAACAGGAUUAGAUACCCUGGUAGUCCACGCCGUAAACGAUGAGUGCUAAGUGUUAGGGGGUUUCCGCCCCUUAGUGCUGCAGCUAACGCAUUAAGCACUCCGCCUGGGGAGUACGGUCGCAAGACUGAAACUCAAAGGAAUUGACGGGGGCCCGCACAAGCGGUGGAGCAUGUGGUUUAAUUCGAAGCAACGCGAAGAACCUUACCAGGUCUUGACAUCCUCUGACAAUCCUAGAGAUAGGACGUCCCCUUCGGGGGCAGAGUGACAGGUGGUGCAUGGUUGUCGUCAGCUCGUGUCGUGAGAUGUUGGGUUAAGUCCCGCAACGAGCGCAACCCUUGAUCUUAGUUGCCAGCAUUCAGUUGGGCACUCUAAGGUGACUGCCGGUGACAAACCGGAGGAAG